This is an RNA transcript of Hippopotamus amphibius kiboko, 12244 nucleotides long. It is a transcript of the gene named aminoadipate-semialdehyde dehydrogenase, with no coding region annotated. Lineage: Eukaryota; Metazoa; Chordata; Mammalia; Artiodactyla; Hippopotamidae. The transcript is spliced from 16 exons. The record is from RefSeq and is a predicted model, not a curated record.
UUUCUGGGAGCCUGGGCAGUUCAGAACCCGGGGUGGGCUGCGCGGUGUGCUGGCCUUAAGGCUUGGGGGGUGUUGGUUUAUUCUCUGUGUGUGAAGCAGUGUUGGGCUUGGACUGUCGGGAGAAGGUCCGGAUGGGCUCGGACCUCCCGGCUACUGCCUCACCCCUAGGCCUUCUGAGUGUGUCUCGGCUGGAGGCGGUAUCCAGUGCGGACAAGUGUGAGGGAGGCGAAGUACAACGACACCUGGGGCUGACCACGCACAGGUAGAGUUCUCUGCUACCAGUGAUGUUCAGAUAAACAUCAGUGAAAUGACUCUUCAGGAAUUGGUGCAUCAGGCUGCCUCCCUUUAUUCGGAUAAAAUAGCUGUAUGUUUUGAUGAAUGUAACAACCAGCCUCCAGUUUAUUACACCUACAAGACUGUGGUUAAUGCUGCUUCAGAAUUAUCAGAUUUUCUGCUGUUACACUGUGACUUUCAAGGAAUUCAGGAAAUUGGUCUCUACUGCCAUCCUGGGAUAAACUUACCCUCUUGGAUUUUGGGAAUUCUCCAAGUCCCUGCUGCUUAUGCGCCUGUUGAUCCAGAUUCACCACCAGCAUUAUCAAUUCAUUUUAUGAAAAAAUGUAAUCUAAAGUAUAUCCUUGUUGAAAAACAGCAAAUUAAUAAAUUCAGAUCUUCCUAUGAAACAUUAUUGAACUGUGAUAUGUUUACAGUAGAACAUAAUGACCUAGUACUCUUCAGACUUCACUGGAAAAAUGUUGAGGUGAACUUGAUACUAAAUGACAGAAAAGAGAAAUAUGAAAAAGAAAAAAUGACAAAGAGCAUGAAUUCUGAGAACAGCAGUGAAGAAAAGUCAGAAGAGCACAUGGAUGUGAGGCUAAAGCAUUGCUUGGCCUAUGUUCUCCAUACAUCAGGCACUACAGGGACACCUAAGGUUGUCAGAGUCCCUCAUACAUGUAUAGUGCCAAACAUCCAACACUUUCGGGUGCUUUUUGAAAUCACUCCGGAAGAUGUUUUGUUUCUGGCUUCACCUCUGACCUUUGAUCCUUCUGUUGUGGAAAUAUUUGUUGCUCUGUCAAGUGGUGCCUCUCUGCUUAUUGUACCGACUUCUGUCAAAGUGCUCCCGUCAAAAUUAGCUGCUGUUCUUUUUUCCCAUCACAGAGUGACUAUUUUGCAGGCAACACCAACAUUGCUUAGAAGAUUUGGAUCUCAGCUUAUCAAGUCAACUGUUUUAUCAACCAAUACUUCUCUUCGAGUAUUGGCCCUUGGUGGCGAAGCAUUUCCAUCAUUAACCGUUCUCAAAAGCUGGAGAGGAGUAGGCAAUAAAACACAAAUAUUUAAUGUUUAUGGUAUCACAGAGGUAUCAAGCUGGGCAACUUUUUACAGGAUUCCAGAGGAGAUUCUUAACUCUGCUUUGAAAUGUGAAUUGCCUGUACAACUGGGAUUUCCACUGCUUGGAACAGUAGUUGAAGUCAGAGAUACUAAUGGUUUCACAAUUCAAGAAGGCAAUGGCCAAGUAUUUUUAGGUGGCAGAAAUAGAGUAUGUUUCCUCAAUGAUGAAAUGACAGUACCACUUGGCACAAUGAGGGCCACAGGAGACUUUGUGACUAUAAAAGAUGGAGAGAUAUUUUUCUUGGGACGAAAGGACAGUCAGAUCAAACGUCAUGGCAAACGUCUUAACAUUGAACUUGUGCAGCAGGUUGCUGAAGGUCUUCAACAAGUGGAGUCUUGUGCAGUUACAUGGUAUAAUCAGGAGAAAUUAAUUCUGUUCAUGGUGUCCAAAAAUGAUUUAGUAAAGGAUUACAUCUUUAAAGAACUGCAGAAACAGCUUCCAAGUCAUGCAAUCCCAGAUGAGCUCGUGUUGAUUGAUUCUCUACCAUUUACAUCUCAUGGCAAAAUUGAUGUUUCUGAGUUAAAUAAGAUUUAUUUAAAUUACAUGGACUUGAAGUCUGAGUGUAAGCUCAAUGGAAAAGAGGAACUUUGGGAAAAAUUACAGCAUUUGUGGAAGUCUGUUCUGAGUCUCUCAGAAGAUCCUUUGAAAGUUCCUGACGAGUCACUCUUCUUAAAUAGUGGUGGAGAUUCCUUGAAGUCCAUACGGCUCCUCAGUGAGAUUGAAAACCUUGUUGGCACAUCAGUACCUGGGCUUCUGGAAAUUAUUCUUAGCAGUUCUAUUUUAGAGAUUUACAGACACAUCCUUCAAAGAGUGUUUCCAGAUGAAGAUAUGACAUUUAGCAAGAAUAAUGCCACAAAAAGAAAAUUCAGUGGUAUUAAUCAAGAGGAAACCAGUGGAAAAUCUUUACAUCAGGAAUCUGUCAUGCCUUUAAAUUGUGACAACGAGAUCAAUGCUUUUAUUGCACUGAGCAGAGGGAGUCAGAUUUUGUCUCUGAAUACUACUAGGUUUUUAACUAAGUUGGGACAUUGCCCUUCAGCCCGUCCUUCUGAUUUAAUAUCACAGACUGACACUCAAAAUGUGAAAAGUUUAAAUCUUCCAGCUCUUAUUGGGAAGUCAAAAGAUCCGUCCUGUGUUGCAAAAGUUUCUGAAGAGGAAACAUCUGUGAUGGGGACUGAGAAAAUGGAGUUUUGUGUGAGGUGGAGGGCAGACACAGGCAAAUGUGUGGAUGCUUCACCUCUGGUUGUAAUACCAGCUGUUGAUAAGUCAUCUGCAACUGUGUACAUUGGCUCCCAUUCUCAUAGAAUGAUGGCAGUUGAUCUUUACUCUGGAAAGAUGAAAUGGGAACAGAUUUUGGGAGAUCGCAUUGAAUCCUCAGCAUGUGUAUCUAAGUGUGGGAACUUUAUUGUAGUGGGCUGUUAUAAUGGGUUAGUUUAUGUUCUGAACAGUAAUAGUGGAGAAAAAUACUGGAUGUUUACUACUGAGGAUGCUGUCAAAAGCUCAGCAACCAUGGAUCCAACCACAGGACUUCUUUACAUUGGAUCUCAUGACCAGCAUGCAUAUGCUUUAGAUAUAUAUAAUAAGAAGUGUGUUUGGAAGUUGAAAUGCGGAGGAACUGUUUUUUCUUCUCCUUGUUUGAGCCUGAUUCCGUAUCACUUGUAUUUUGCUACACUAGGAGGACUUUUACUGGCUAUAAAUCCUGCCACUGGGAACAGAGUUUGGAAACAGUCCUGUGGAAAGCCACUCUUUUCUUCUCCACAGUGUUGCCUACAAUAUAUUUGUAUUGGCUGUGUAGAUGGGAAUUUACUUUGCUUUACUCACUUUGGAGAACAGGUUUGGCAAUUCUCUACCAGUGAACCAAUCUUUUCAUCCCCAUGUACCUCAGCAUCAGAGCAAGAAAUAUUUUUUGGUUCCCAUGAUUGCUUUAUCUACUGUUGUAGUCUGAGAGGUCACCUCCAGUGGAAAUUUGAAACUACUUCAAGGGUGUAUUCAACACCAUUUGCUUUCCAUAACCACAACCGUGGCAAUGAAAUGUUGGCAGCAGCAUCUACUGAUGGGAAACUGUGGAUCUUGGAAUCUAAGAGCGGACAGUUGCAAAGUGUGUAUCAACUUCCUGGAGAAGUUUUCUCUUCUCCUGUGGUCUGGGAAUCAAUGCUUAUUAUUGGAUGUAGAAAUAAUUAUGUUUAUUGUCUGGAUUUAUUGGGUGGCAAUCAAGGAUAAUGAAAUAUAGUCCUUAAUAGAAUAUAUCUGUGACAUGUUUGAAAAUAUAAAGACCUCGGGAAAAGAAGAUCAGAAUAUACUUGGUCGGUUAAAAACUUAGUCUGUGAUGUAAUACACCAUUUACUCAUCUAUGCUGAGAUUCAUAACAAAAGGUUUUCAAAGAUAGGCUCUAUUUGUUAAAUGUUUCCUUAAUUUAAUAUUUUUAAAUGAACAAAGUACCAAUAUAGAAUAAUAUAUCUACAAUGUAUAGUUUCAAGUUGAUAUACCUUCUUUUCUCAAUUUUUUUUUUUAAUAAAUGUGUCACCUGCUCAGCUGUAUCUACUGCUGUAUAUAGCACAUGAUUUCCUCUCUUUCAGUAACACAUUUUCUUAGCAUUCUUUUUUCAUAUUUAUUUAUUUAUUUAUUUGGCUGCACUGGGUCUUAGUUGCAGCACAUGGGAUAUUUGUUGUGGCAUGGGGGAUCUUUUAGUUGCAGCAUGUGGGAAUCUUUAGUUGCAGCAUAUGAACUCUUAGUUGCAGCAUGUGAGAUCUAGUUCCCUGACUAGUGAUUGAACCCAGGCCCCUUGCAUUGGGAGUGCAGAAUCUUAACCACUGGACCACCAGGGGAGUCCCCUCAAUUUUUGAUAUAUGAACUUUGAUGGCUAAUAUUUUUGCACCUAUAUUUUUCAAUUUAUUAGAUUUUGCUGCUGUAACAACUCUUUUUUAUUGUUCAGUGUCUUGAAGGUAGGGAAGCACAGCAAAAGUCAGGGAAGAAGAAAACCUUUGUACUUUUUAAGUGUCAUGAUUUCUCAUACUUAAUGCUGCUCUUUCAGUCCCAUAGCACUUUGCUUCUACCUCCAUUUUGCCUAGUAGUAAGUUGCCCCCAGUGAGCUGUACCUCCUCUGGGAGCCAUGCCCGUUAUGCAGCUCCCUUCUCUGACACCUGGGCUUGGCCUAUCAGUUGCUUUAACCAACAGAAUGCAGUGAUGGUGACACUAUGCCACUUCUGAGCCUAAAUUUUAAGAAGGCCUGGCAGCUUCUGCUUUUAUAGCUAUGGGAGUCCUGAGCUGCUACAUCAGUCUGGCUGCCUACUGGAGAAGCCAUGUGGUUAGGGAGCUAUGAGCUAAGACUACACUGAGAAGAACCAAGGUAGCCCGUGAACAGUGACAGCCAAAGAUCUGGCCCCCAGCAUUCCAGUCAAUUCCAGCUAUAUAGUCUGUAACUAACCUUUCCCCUAAUUGUACUGUCAACUGUAGUAUCAUUUCAUUUGUUAAUUUUUCACCAGUAAUUAGAUAAUUAGAAAUCUCAGUUAUCAAACAUGCCAGAGUUCUUGGUCGCAAGUAAUAGAAGGCCAUUUGGGCUAUUUUAUUUAAAUAAAUAAUUUGGAGAAUUUAUUUUUAUUUCUUAAUUGAAGUAUAGUUGAUGUACAAUAUUAUGUAAGUUACAACAUAGUGAUUCACAAUUUUUAAAGGUUAUACUCCAUUUAUUAUUAUAAAAUGUUGGCUAUAUUCCGUGUGUUAUACAGUGUAUCCUUAUAGCUUAUUUAUUUUAUACAUAAUGGUUUGUCCCUCUUAAUCCCUUACCACUAUCUUGCCCCUCCUCCCUUCCCUCUCACCACUGGUAACCACUAAUUUGUCCUCUAUAUCUGUGAGUCUGAUUCUUUUUUGUUAUAUCCACUAGUUUGUUGUAUAUUUUAGAUUCCACAUAUAAGUGAUAUCUUACGUCUUUCUCUGACUCAUUUCAUUUAGCAUAAUACUCUCCAAGUCCAUCCAUGUUGUUGCAAAUGGCAGAAUUUCAUUCUUUUUAUAGCUGAAUAGUAUUCCAUUAUAUACAUAUACCACAUCCUCUUUAUCUGUUCAUCUGCUGAUGGACACUUAAGUUGCUUCCAUAUCUUAGCAAUUAUAAAUAAUGCUGCUAUGAAUAUUGGGGUGCAUAUAUUUUUUUGAACUAGUGUUUGUUUGUUUGUUUUUGGAUAUUAUAUCCAGGAGUGGAAUUGCUGAGUCAUAUGGUAGUUCUAUUUUUAGUUUUUUGAGAAAUCUCCAUACUGUUUUCCACAGUGGCUGCACCAGUUUACAUUCCCAACAGGGUAAGAGGGUUCCCUUUUGUCUACAUCCUUGCCAACAUUUGUUGUUUGUGUUCUUUUUGAUGAUAACCAUUCUGACCUGUGUGAGGUGAUAUCUCAUUGUGGUUUUUAUUUGCAUUUCCCUGAUUAGUGAUGUUGAGGAUCUUUUCAUGAGCCUGUUGGCCACCUGCAUGUUCUCUUUGGAAGAAUGUCUCUUCGGAUCUUCUGCCCAGUUUUCAAUCAGGUUGUUUGCUUUUUUGAUGUUGCAUUGUAUGAGCUGUUUUUAUAUAUUGGAUAUUCACCCCAAGUUGGUCAUAUCUUUUGCAAAAAUUUCCUCCCAUUCAGUAGGUUGUCUUUUCAUUUUGUCUAUGGUUUCCUUUGCUGUGCAAAAGUUUUUAAGCUUAAUUAGGUCCCAUUUGUUUAUUUUUGCUUCUAUUUCCUUUGCUUUAGGAGACAGAUCCAAAAAAAAUUGCUAUGAUUUGUGUCAAAGUGUUCUGCCUGUGUUUUCCUCUAAGAGUUUUAUGGUUUCCAGUCUUACAUUUAAAAUGUCUUUAAUCCAUUUUGAGUUUAUUUUUGUAUAUGCUGUUAGGAAAUGUUCUAAUUUCAUUCUUUUACAUGUAGCUGUCCAGUUUUCCCAGCAGCAGUUAUUGAAGAGACUUUUUUUGCUCCAUUUUGUAUUCUUGCUUCCUUUGUCGUAAAUUAAUUGACUGUAAAUGUGUGGGUUUGUUUCUGGGCUUUCUAUUCUGUUCCUUUGAUCUAUGUCUCUGUUUUCGUGCCAGUACCAUACUGUUUUGAUUGCUGUAGCUUUGUAUUAUAGUUUGAAGUCAGAGAGUGUGAUUCAUCCAGAAGAAAGCAUUCUGCUUUCUCAAGACUGUUUUGGCUAUUCAGGGUCUUUUGUGUUUCCAUACAAAUUUUAAAAUUAUCUGUGAAAAAUGCCCUUCGUAUUUUGAUAGAGACUGCAUUGAAUCUGUAGAUUUCCUUGGUAGUAUGAGCAUUUUAACAACAUUAAUUUUUCCAGCCCUGCAUAUGGUAUAUUUUUCCAGCUGUUUGUGUCAUCUUCAAUUUGUUUCAUCAGUGCCUUACAGUUUUCUGAAUACAGGUAUUUUACCUCCUUAAGGAGGUUUAUUCUUAGGUAUUUUAUUCCUUUUGAUGUAAGGUAAAUGGGAUUGUUUACUUAAUUUCUCUUUUUGAUGGUUCAUUGAUUGUGUAUAGAAAUGGAACAGAUUUCUGUAUGUUAAUUUGGUAUCAUGCAGCUUUACCAAAUUCAUUGAUGAGUUCUAGUAGUGUUCUGAUGGUGUCUUUAGGAUUUUCUAUGUAUAGUAUCAUGUCAUCUGCAAACAGUGACAGUUUUACUUCUUCCUUUCCAAUCUGGAUUUUUAUUUAUUUUCCUUAUUUGAUUGCUGUAGCUAGGACAUCCAAUACUAUGGUGAAUAAAAGUAGCUAGAGUGGGCAUCCUUGUCUUGUUCCUGAUAUUAGAGGAAAUCCUUUCAGCUUUUCACCCGUGAGUAUGAUGUUAGCUGUAGGUUUGUCAUAUAUGGACUUUAUUAUGUUGAGGUAUGUUACCGUUUUGCCCACUUUAUGGAGGGUUUUUAUCAUAAAUGGAUGUUGAAUUUUGUCAAAAGCUUUUUCUGCAUCUACUGAGAUAAUCAUAUGGUUUUUAUUCUUCAAAUUGUUAAUGUAGUGUAUCAUACUGAUUGAUUUAAAGAUGUUGAAAAGUCCUUGUAUCCUUGGGAUAAAUCCCACUUGAUCAUGUUUUAUGAUCCAUUUAAUGUAUUGUUGGAUUCAGUUUGCUAGUAUUUUGUUGAGGAUUUCUAUGUUUAUGUUUAUUAGUGAUAUUGGGCUGUAAUUUCCUUUUUGUGAUAUCUUUGUUUGGUUUUAGUAUCACAGUGAUGCUGGCUUCGUAGAAUGAGUUCAGAGGCAUUCCUUCCUCUGCAAUUUUUUUUUGGAAUAGUUGGAGAAAGUUGGGUGUUAACUCUUCUCUAAAUCAGGGGUCCCCAACCCCUGGGCCAUGGACUGGUACUGGUCCAUGGCCUGUUAGGAACUGGGCCACACAACAGGAAGAGAGUAGUGGGUGAGUGAGCGAAGCUUCAUCUGUCGCUCCCCAUCACUCACAUUACUUCCUGAACUGUUCCCCUUCGCCCCCAUCCAUGGAAAAAUUGUCUUCUGUGAAACCGGUCCCUAGUGCCAAAAAGGUUGGGGACUGCUUCUCUAAAUGGUUUGUUGAAUUCACUUGUAAAGCCAUCUGAUCCUGGACAUUUCUUUGUUGGGAAUUUUUUUAAAUACUGAUUUAAUUUCAUUACUGGUAAUUGAUCUGUUCAUAUUUUCUAUUUCUUCCUGGUUCAGUUUUGGGAGAUUGUACAUUUCUAGGAAUUUGUACGUUUCUUCUAGGUUGUCCAUUUUAUUAGCAUAUAGUUUUUUUGCAGUAGUCUCUUAGGAUCUUUUGUAUUUCUGUGGUGUCAGUUGUAACUUCUUUUUCAUUUCUGAUUUGGGCCCUCUCUUUUUCUUGAUGAGUCUGGCUAAAGGUUUAUCAAUUUUUUUAUCUUUUCAAAGAAGCAGCUUUUAGCUUCAUUGAUCUUUUUAUUGUUUUUUUAAGUCUCUUUCAUUUAUUUCUGCUCUGAUCUUUAUGAUUUCUUUCCUUAUACUAACCUUGGGUUUUGUUUGUUCUUUUUUUAGUUUAGAUGUAAGGCUAGGUUGUUUGAGAUUUUUCUCAUUUCCUGAGGUAAGCUUGUAUUGCCAUAAAACUUCUGCCUUAGAACUGCUUUUGCUGUGUCCCAUAGAUUUUGGAUUAUUGUUUUUCAUUUAUCUCCAAAUUAAAAAAAAUUUCCUCUGAUUUCUUCAGUAAUCUAUUGGUUUUCUAGUAGCAUAUUGUUUAGCUUCCAUAUGUUUGUGUUUUUGGAAAUUUUUUCUUGUAGUUGAUUUCUAGUCUUCUAGCAUUGUGGUCAGAAAAGAUGCUUGAUAUGAUUUAAAUUUUCUUAAAUUUACUGAGGCUUGUUUUGUGGCCUAGCAUGUGAUUUAUCCUAGAGAAUAUUCUGUGUGCACUUGAAAAGAAUGUAUUCUGCUGCUAUUGGGUGGAAUGUUCUAAGUGUAUCUACUAAGUCUGGUCUAAUUUAAGACCAGUAUUUCCUUACUGAUUUUCUGUCUGAAUGAUCUGUCCAUUGAUGUAAGUGGGGUAUAAAAGUCCCCUACUAUUCUUGUGUUACUGUUGAUCUCUCCCUUUAUGUCUGUUAGUGUUUGCUUUAUAUAUUUUGGAGCUCCUAUGUUGAUGCUUGUAUAUUGACAAUUGUUAUGUCUUCUUGAAUUGAUCCCUUGAUCAUUAUGUAGUGUCCUUUGUCUCUUCCAAAACCUUUAUUUUAAUGUCCAUUUUAUCAGAUAUAAGUAUUGCUACUCUAGCUUUAAUUUCCAUUUACAUGCAAUACCUUUUGCAUCUCUUCACUUUCAAUCUGUGUAUGUCUUUAGAUCUGAAGUGAGUCUCCUGUAGGCAGGAUAUAUAUGGGUCUUUUUCUUCUUCUUUCUUUUUUUUUUUUAAUUCAGCCACUCUGUCUUUUGAUUGGAGCAUUUAGUCCAUUUAUGUUUAAAGUAAUUAUAUGUGUGUUCUAAUUGCCAUUUUGUUAAUUAUUUGGAGGGGGGGAGGGUUGUAGGGUUUUUUGGUUCCUGCUUUUGUUCUCUUUUGAUUUGAUGACUAUCUUUAGUGUUGUGUUUGGAUUCCUUUUCUCUUCUUUUGUGUAUCCAUUAUAGUUUUGGCUUGUAGCUGCCGUGAAGUUUUUAUAUAGCAAUCUAUAUUUAUAUGUGAUUGUUGUAAGUUGUUGAUCUAAUUUCCAAUGCAUUUUAACAACCCUGCAUUUGUACUCUCUUCCCCUCACAAUUACUGUUUUUGAUAUAUUUUAUCUCUAAUUGUUUUGUGUAUCCCUUAACUGCUUAUUUUAGAAUAGAUGAUUUUACUACUGUUGUCAUUUAACCUCCUUACUAGCUUUGUGUGUGGAUGAUUUCCUACCUUUACUGUAUGUUUGCCUUUAACCAAUGAGCUUUUUCAUUUCAUUUUCUAGUUGUGGCCUUUUCUUUUUUGUUAAGAGAAGUUCCUUUAAUAAUAUUUCUUGUAAAGUUUGGUCGUACUGAACUCUUUUAGCUUUUGCUUGUCUGUAAAGAUUUUGAUCUUUCCCUCAAAUCUGAAUCAGAGCCUUGCUGGGUAGAGUAUCCUUGGUUAUAGGUUUUUUUCCUUUAAUCAUUUUAAACAUGUUGCCCUUCUGGCCUGCAGAGUUUCUGAAGUCAGCUGAUAGCCUUAUGGGAGUUCCCUUCUAUGUCAUUUGUUGUUUUUCCUUUGCUACUUUUAAUAUUCUCUCUUUAAUUUUUGAGAUUUUAAUUACAAUGUGUUUUAGUGUAUUCCUCUUUGGGUUAAUGCUGUAUGGGACUCUCUGUGCUUCCUGGACUUGGAUGUCUGUUUCCUUUCCCAAGUUAGGGAAGUUUUCAGCUAUUAUGUCUGAAAUAUGUUCUCAGCCCCUUUCUCUCUCUCUUCUCCUUCUGGGACCCCUAUAAUGCGAGUAUUAGUGCACUUAAUGUUGUCCCAGAGGUCUCUUAUACUGUCCUCAUUUCUUUUCCUUUUUUCUUUUAGCAUCAAUGAUUUCCACUACUCUGUCUUCCAGCUCACUGAUCCAUUUCUCUGUAUCAUUUAGUCUACUGUUGAUCCUUCUAGUGUAGUUUUAAUAUCAGUUAUUAUAAUCUUCAUCUCUGUGUGCUUAUUCUUUAUACUAUAGCUCUUUGUUAAAAACAUCUAACUUUCACUCUGUGCAUCCAUUCUUUUCCCAAGUUCUCUGAUCAUCUUUUCAAUCACUACCCUGAACUCUUUCUUGGGUAUUUGCCUAUCUCCACUUCACUUAGUUCUUCUUGUGGCAUUUUAUCUUGUUCCUUCAUCUAGAACAUGUUCCUCUGUUGCCUCAUUUUGCCCAAGUUGCUGUUUGUAUUUUCAUGUUUCUGGUGGGUUGGUUAUGUUUCCCAACCUUGGAGAAGUGGCCUAUGUGUCCCAGCAGUGGGGUCCCCUCUCAUCACCCAAAUGAUAUGCUCUGGUGAUUCCCUGCUAGGAGGGCUGUGUGGGUCCUUCUGUUGUGGUGAGAGCUAACUAUGUGGGCCAUCUGGUAGGCUUGGUUGGCCCCUGUUCAGGUUAGUUGCUAACCUUGCCCUGUGGAGAGGCUGCUGGACCAGGUCACAAGGUGGCUGACUGCAGAACCCCAGGGGCCCCAGGGAUAAUGCUGGCUCAUUCGUGGGUAGAGUCAGGGUCUAGAAGACUCCAAGGCUGUUGCCCACCCUAUGGUGGGUGAAGCCAAGUCCUGGGGUUAGUGCUGGUCUACUGGCAGGCAGAGUCAGGUGCUGGAGUCUGGAUACAAGGCCAGUGGUCCCAGGGCUAUUGUCAGAUCGCUGGAGGGAAGGGGGAGGGGCUAUUUCUGCCACAUUUGGGUAUGGGGUCUGGGAUGUCCCAAAGCUUGUGUUGGCCUGCUAGUGGGGAGGGCCAGGACCCAGGCCCAGAUAGUCCCAGGACAUGGUCUGGCCUACAGCCUGCAGGAUUGUGUUUUUCUUGCUUCUGGUGUCUGCCUGCUGGUGGGUGAGGCUGGUCCAGAGGCUAGAACUAGCUCCCUGGACAGCAGGGCCAGGGUAGGGCUGGGUCUUGGGGCUAAAAACUAGAGAGAAGAUUCCACAACAGCCUUUGCCAGCACCAAUGUCCACGUGGUAGAAGGAACUCCCAAGAAUGGCUGCAGCCAGUGUCUAUGUUCCCAGGGUGAGCUGCAGCUGCCUCCUGCCACUUUGGGAGAUUCUCCAAGAUCAGCAGUUGUAGAAGAUUUCUCCUGGAAGAUUCCGGUCUUUUUCAUCAAAGGUUAUUCUGCAAAUAGUUGUGAUCUUGGUGUGCCCAUGAAAGAAGGUAAGUUCAGGGUCUUUCCAUUCUGCCAUCUUGGCCAAUCUCCUCCAGGAUGAAUUUUUAAAAGAAUAUUGAGUCUCUUGCAGAAUUACAAAGAGGGCUAGAGCUAUACAGCCAGAAACAAUGAAUGCGUGAAAUCACCAUAUCAUUUUGGCCAGAAGAUAGUUGCUGUCCUUGAAGCUCUCAAUGCUGACCUUCUGACUGACCCCCACGAACACUGGACACUGUUCCCUACCACUGCCAGACUUUCUCACAGUUCCCCCAUCUUUUGGUCAGUUGCUCCCAAUCCACAGUCCCCUCCCAUUUGAAGUGAAACAUGUUGUUAUGCCCACAAGAGAGUAUAGGAAAGCACCUAACAGGCAUUUCAACUGUGGCAGGAGGUGAGUGCUGCCCUCUACGAAGACCCAUGAGGUGGAGAUUUCCCCAAACAUAGAAAGGGGAUUGAGGCCAUGGCUGCCCCAAAAGAAUAACAUAUCUUCUGCCAGGUUUUAGACCCAUGCUGAUUCAUCUUUAAUAAACACCUGGAGCCAAAUGCACAUUCCAGUUGAGAGGGCCGGAAGGAGAGGGCUCAGCUUAGCCACACUGGAGCCUGGAGCAAAAGGAAAAAUCAGUAAUACUGACCCUAUCUUUAGUUAAAAUUUUGAUAUUUGUUCAUCAUGGAAUUUGUAUUAAUCUUGACUUUUUAAAAUAUUGCAUUAA